RNAcentral lists this long non-coding RNA (542 nucleotides) under Cyanistes caeruleus (blue tit). Its description in RNAcentral is "lncRNA (ENSCCEG00000016246.1)". Lineage: Eukaryota; Metazoa; Chordata; Aves; Passeriformes; Paridae. The record is from RNAcentral.
GCACAGUAACUUUGCACUGCCAGGAGACCCAGCAUGUUCCUCCGAGGCAUCCAGUAGGAACCAUCACCAAAAGCUGUUUGCCCUGAUGGAGACACCCUCAAUUUGAAAUAUUGCUUUAUUUCUCUGUGCAGAGGCAUGCAUUACAAAUUAAUUGAGCAGGCAUGUCUAUGUUAGCAGUAGGCUCACCAGAGAGUGCUGGGAUGAGAAGGGACAGAUAUACUUGUGUAAGCAAAGCAAGUUCAACCUGCUGGCAAAUGUUUUAUUUUGGUGCUUUGAGACAACCUCACUUUUUCUUCAAUCAAGACAAAAGAGGUGAGGCUGCUCACAGAAACAACUACAAACAUAACUUUGCAGGUGUCCCAGUUGCUGGUUACAGAGUUGUCUGCAGUCUACAGCUGUCUGUCCAUCCCAGUAAAUGCAGAGAACAUUUCCAUCAGGAAGGCCUAAAAAGAGAAAUGUGUAUAUUUUAUUUUAAACAGAAAAGGCUACACUGCCUACAUCAUGGUAUUGCCAAGGUGUUUCCUUCAACUUCUUGUUUAUAA